GGAAAGUGGCGCACGGGUGCGUAACGCGUAUGCAACCUACCUUAAUCAGGGGGAUAGCCCGAAGAAAUUCGGAUUAACACCGCAUAAAAUCACAGUAUAGCAUUAUACAAUGAUCAAAUAUUUAUAGGAUUAAGAUGGGCAUGCGUGACAUUAGUUAGUUGGCGGGGUAACGGCCCACCAAGACCACGAUGUCUAGGGGAUCUGAGAGGAUGACCCCCCACACUGGUACUGAGACACGGACCAGACUCCUACGGGAGGCAGCAGUAAGGAAUAUUGGUCAAUGGAGGCAACUCUGAACCAGCCAUGCCGCGUGCAGGAAGACAGCCCUCUGGGUCGUAAACUGCUUUUAUUCGGGAAUAAACCUAUCUACGUGUAGAUAGCUGAAUGUACCGAAGGAAUAAGGAUCGGCUAACUCCGUGCCAGCAGCCGCGGUAAUACGGAGGAUCCAAGCGUUAUCCGGAUUUAUUGGGUUUAAAGGGUGCGUAGGCGGCUUUUUAAGUCAGGGGUGAAAGACGGUGGCUCAACCAUCGCAGUGCCCUUGAUACUGAAGAGCUUGAAUGAACUAGAGGUAGGCGGAAUGUGACAAGUAGCGGUGAAAUGCAUAGAUAUGUCACAGAACACCGAUUGCGAAGGCAGCUUACUAUGGUUAAAUUGACGCUGAGGCACGAAAGCGUGGGGAUCAAACAGGAUUAGAUACCCUGGUAGUCCACGCCCUAAACGAUGAAUACUCGCUGUUAGCGAUACACAGUUAGCGGCUAAGCGAAAGCGUUAAGUAUUCCACCUGGGGAGUACGGUCGCAAGAUUGAAACUCAAAGGAAUUGACGGGGGCCCGCACAAGCGGAGGAGCAUGUGGUUUAAUUCGAUGAUACGCGAGGAACCUUACCCGGGCUUGAAAGUUAGUGAAUCAUUUAGAGAUAGAUGAGUCCGCAAGGACACGAAACUAGGUGCUGCAUGGCUGUCGUCAGCUCGUGCCGUGAGGUGUUGGGUUAAGUCCCGCAACGA
RNAcentral lists this ribosomal RNA (1002 nucleotides) under Pedobacter sp. RNAcentral describes it as "bacterial SSU rRNA". It matches the Rfam family "Bacterial small subunit ribosomal RNA", at positions 90 to 1095 of the family's 1533-position model. Lineage: Bacteria; Pseudomonadati; Bacteroidota; Sphingobacteriia; Sphingobacteriales; Sphingobacteriaceae. The record is from RNAcentral.